ACAAUGUUUAUGGAAGUUGGGUCAUCAUAGAGAUCCAAUUCCAGUGAGUUUAGUGAUACAUGGUUACAAUUGGAGAGGAAACACAGGAUGAUGAUGAAUUCAUGAUCUUCAAUCUUCAAUUGGAAAACUCCAAAGCUUGAAUUUCUUCAGUCUUCAAAGCCAGUUCUUGAACAAAAUUGUGUAACUUUCUCACAGAUGCAGGAAUAGCCUUUUUAUUGUUAAUCCUUCCUGAUCUGCGCAUCGCGCACCACCAAUUUGCGCAUCAUGCGCCAGCUGACGUGGCAUCUCCUGAUUCGUCCUCCUGGCGUAUCAUGCGCCAAUUUUUGACUGACCCGUAGGUCCCUCUUUCUUAAAUUUCUUGCGCAACUGUGCGCCAAAUACAUGCGCAUCGUGUGCAACUGCCCGAGGCACCCACUAUUAUCUUUCAUUCCUGCGCCCCAUGCGCCAUUUCUAAUUGAGGGCUUGUCUCCUCUUGUAUAUAUUUUUUUGUAAUUUGUAGGCACUACUUGUGCUUAUUUCUUUUACAA
RNAcentral lists this long non-coding RNA (527 nucleotides) under Trifolium pratense (red clover). RNAcentral describes it as "long non-coding RNA (TPRA_LNC002401)". The record is from RNAcentral. Lineage: Eukaryota; Viridiplantae; Streptophyta; Magnoliopsida; Fabales; Fabaceae.